AUGAUGCAAGCGGAAAAGGUGUGUACUACUUCAAGGGAGCAGAGGCAGAGGCACAUCAGUAUGAUGAUAUCCACCGUGGUGGCCAGGGCGAGGAAGCAGCUCGAGGCCAAGGACCAGGAGAUCGAGUGGAUCAGGAGCAUGAAUUGGGCACUCAAGGAGCGCAUCAGGAACCUCCACAUCGAGGCUCAGGCGUGGUGCAACGUUGCGCAGUCCAACGAGACCGUGGCCAAUGUUCUCCGCGCCGACCUUCAGCAAGUGCUCGAGCAGCAAGCGUUUCGUGGCAGUGGCAGCAACGACAGUGAGGACGCCGCCGGAUCGUGCUGGGGGGAGAAACAUGUGGCUUUUUGCAGGGAGGAGCAGGAGGAGGAGGAGGGUGAGACGCCAGGAGUGGAGCCCUGA
RNAcentral lists this ribosomal RNA (399 nucleotides) under Triticum aestivum (bread wheat). RNAcentral's name for it is "partial small subunit ribosomal RNA". Lineage: Eukaryota; Viridiplantae; Streptophyta; Magnoliopsida; Poales; Poaceae. The record is from RNAcentral.